AUCUGCAGAAUUCUCAGGAGGGAAGAGAAGGAGUUGAGCCAUAACCUCCUAACCUCUGCGGCACACCCUCGGCCAGCAACCUCAUUCUCCUUCUGGCAUUUGGAGGGCUCUGUGGAUCCCUUGCCCUCAGAAAUGCUAUCAACAUAAUGAAAGUUGAGAUGAAAAUUAAUCAUUUGCUGAGCUUCCUCCUGCAUCUGUUUUAAAACCUUCUGAGGGUGAGAGGAAUCUGUAGAACCUUGGAAGGCUGUGCUGGGAUUCCCACUGACUGUACUGGGAAAUCUGAGGUGAUCCAUUCGAAGCGGUUAUUAGGAAGAAAUGAGAUGACACUGUUUCUCAGCAUUUGAGAUCAAGAACCUCAGAUUGGAACAGGGCCAGCACUUUAGUAGCUGAAAGCAGUCUGUGCAUUCAUUUGAAAUGAAGGAUGGGAAGUUCCCUGAAAAGGUUUAAAGUCUUAAUUCAAUUGAUAUUGGCACAAUAAACUCUAGGACACAUCCAAAUCCAUUACGAAGACUCCUCAUGCCAGCAGAUUUGCAAAACUAGAUGUGGAAUUGCAUCAAGUUCUUUCUGCUCUAUGUUUUAAGAGACACACUCAAGAGUUUCAUGCAGACUUGUCAUCACAUUCUGGCUCUCUCAUUUUCCUGGAAAGUUGGGCAAGCUACUUCAAAUUUUGGAGUCUCAUUUUCCUCAUCUGUGGAAUGAAUGUCAUAAUACAUAUUCACUGACUUAACAUGAGGACGGCGUGUGUUAAUAAUAAACCUAAUCUUGUGACCA
RNAcentral lists this long non-coding RNA (771 nucleotides) under Sus scrofa (pig). Its description in RNAcentral is "lncRNA (ENSSSCG00055010429.1)". Lineage: Eukaryota; Metazoa; Chordata; Mammalia; Artiodactyla; Suidae. The record is from RNAcentral.